This 752-nucleotide ribosomal RNA is filed under the name uncultured bacterium. Its description in RNAcentral is "bacterial SSU rRNA". It matches the Rfam family "Bacterial small subunit ribosomal RNA", at positions 8 to 796 of the family's 1533-position model. The record is from RNAcentral.
AGAGUUUGAUCCUGGCUCAGAACGAACGCUGGCGGCAUGCCUAACACAUGCAAGUCGAACGUGAUCCGGGCUUCGGCCUGGUGAAAGUGGCAGACGGGUGAGUAACGCGUGGGAACCUGCCCUGUGGUAGGGAAUAACCGUGGGAAACUGCGGCUAAUACCCUAUGAGUCCUUCGGGAGAAAGAUUUAUCGCCAUAGGAGGGGCCCGCGUCGGAUUAGGUAGUUGGUGGGGUAACGGCCUACCAAGCCUUCGAUCCGUAGCUGGUCUGAGAGGAUGAUCAGCCACACUGGGACUGAGAUACGGCCCAGACUCCUACGGGAGGCAGCAGUGGGGAAUAUUGGACAAUGGGGGCAACCCUGAUCCAGCAAUGCCGCGUGGAUGAUGAAGGCCUUCGGGUUGUAAAGUCCUUUCGGCGGGGAAGAUGAUGACGGUACCCGCAGAAGAAGCCCCGGCUAACUUCGUGCCAGCAGCCGCGGUAAUACGAAGGGGGCUAGCGUUGUUCGGAAUUACUGGGCGUAAAGGGCGCGUAGGCUGUGCUGUAAGUCAGGCGUGAAAGCCCCGGGCUCAACCUGGGAGUUGCGCUUGAUACUGCGGCGCUGGAAGGUGGGAGAGGAUGGCGGAAUUCCCAGUGUAGAGGUGAAAUUCGUAGAUAUUGGGAAGAACACCGGUGGCGAAGGCGGCCAUCUGGCCCACAUUUGACGCUGAGGCGCGAAAGCGUGGGGAGCAAACAGGAUUAGAUACCCUAGUAGUCC